This 994-nucleotide ribosomal RNA is filed under the name Vibrio parahaemolyticus. RNAcentral describes it as "partial 23S ribosomal RNA". It matches the Rfam family "Bacterial large subunit ribosomal RNA", at positions 176 to 1222 of the family's 2925-position model. Lineage: Bacteria; Pseudomonadati; Pseudomonadota; Gammaproteobacteria; Vibrionales; Vibrionaceae. The record is from RNAcentral.
GAGGCGAACCGGGGGAACUGAAACAUCUAAGUACCCCGAGGAAAAGAAAUCAACCGAGAUUCCGAAAGUAGCGGCGAGCGAAAUUGGACUAGCCCUUAAGCUUUACACGCGUUAGACGAACGGUCUGGAAAGUCCGACGAUACAGGGUGAUAGUCCCGUAGUUGACGACGUGUGUUCAGUGAAAUCGAGUAGGGCGGGACACGUGAUAUCCUGUCUGAAUAUGGGGGGACCAUCCUCCAAGGCUAAAUACUACUGACUGACCGAUAGUGAACCAGUACCGUGAGGGAAAGGCGAAAAGAACCCCUGUGAGGGGAGUGAAAUAGAACCUGAAACCGUGUACGUACAAGCAGUAGGAGCAGGCUUUGUCCUGUGACUGCGUACCUUUUGUAUAAUGGGUCAGCGACUUAUAUUCAGUGGCAAGGUUAACCAUCUAGGGGAGCCGUAGGGAAACCGAGUCUUAACUGGGCGUUCAGUCUCUGGAUAUAGACCCGAAACCAGGUGAUCUAGCCAUGGGCAGGUUGAAGGUUGAGUAACAUCAACUGGAGGACCGAACCGACUAAUGUUGAAAAAUUAGCGGAUGACUUGUGGCUAGGGGUGAAAGGCCAAUCAAACCUGGAGAUAGCUGGUUCUCCCCGAAAGCUAUUUAGGUAGCGCCUCGGACGAAUACUACUGGGGGUAGAGCACUGUUAAGGCUAGGGGGUCAUCCCGACUUACCAACCCUUUGCAAACUCCGAAUACCAGUAAGUACUAUCCGGGAGACACACGGCGGGUGCUAACGUCCGUCGUGGAGAGGGAAACAACCCAGACCGCCAGCUAAGGUCCCAAAUUACUACUAAGUGGGAAACGAUGUGGGAAGGCUCAGACAGCCAGGAUGUUGGCUUAGAAGCAGCCAUCAUUUAAAGAAAGCGUAAUAGCUCACUGGUCGAGUCGGCCUGCGCGGAAGAUGUAACGGGGCUAAGUAGUAAACCGAAGCUGCGGCAAUGUGCUUUUGUAU